Molecule: long non-coding RNA, 4867 nt
Filed under: Jatropha curcas
Lineage: Eukaryota; Viridiplantae; Streptophyta; Magnoliopsida; Malpighiales; Euphorbiaceae
Description: long non-coding RNA (JCUR_LNC000550)
Source: RNAcentral
UCAUAUUUAUGAAUAUUUAAAUAGUAAAAAUUUUUGAUAAUAAAAUUUUCUUUUACAUUAAAAAAAUAAAAAUAAAACACUAAAAAAAAUUCAAUUUUUAAAAAACGCAAUUUCUUGAGACGGUAAAUAAAUAUUUACACUAUCUAGUCGGACGAAAAUUUGUGUGUCAAAAUUUAUGAGGAAGACACACAUAUAAUAAAGAAAAUCCAUUUCAUUAUAGCAAAUUGCUAAUAAGAGGAUUUAUAUUGUGACAUGUUGCCGUUUCACAUGAAAUGAGCUUCUUUUUUUUUUGUCGAUACAUAGGGGAGCAAGAGCUCAAAGCAAAACGAAAGCAAAGCUGCAAAACGAAAACAAAGCUAUACAGCUAUGCUGACUCGUUGAGUCGCGUUGCUACAAAUUUCAUAGUCUAUCCAAAUCGAUAAACCAGGAGGAGGAGACUGCAAAUUAGUUUAAUGAUACCUUCAAAUUGCAGGCCAAGAAAGUAGGAGGGUCAUCAGAAAAACAUGAAAUACAAAAAAAGACACGUGUAAUAAUUUAUUACAGAGAAGAACACCAAUGUUCAAUAAAUUCUUGUACUAGUAGAAAUCAAAUAACUACUACAAAAGGGAGAGGUAUGAAUUGGUAGGGAAGUGAGGAGCCAUAAUUGUGGAAGCUGAUGAUGAUUUUGAUUUUCUUUUGGGUAGUUUGACAGGUUUAGAUACUUUCAUGGUGGAGAUAGUUACAUCUUCAGAAACUCGAGAGGAUGGAGAAGAAGAAUGGAAGCAACUAAACAAAGCUGAGAAGAUAUAUAGAUGUCAUUUUUUUUUUUUUUUUUUGGUGUGUGUUUUUGGAUUGGAGCUUGGAAGGAAUAACAUAUUAAUUUAUAGUGAAAGAUGAGAAAGGAAAUUAAAACUUGUUUGUUUAUGGAUGCUAGUAAAAAAAAUACUGGACUUCCAACAUUUGUGUCCGGUUAAGUGAAGUUCGAUAUUUUAGGUUAAUUCAAUUCAAAGCCUAAAAAGUUGGGUUAAAAGAUAAAUAAACUAAUUAUAAAUAUCUCUAAUAGUUUUACUAAUUACUCGACUUGACUGUUGACGGGUCUCUUUAUAUGUGUUAUCUGAAAAGAUGAGGAUUCAAUAAUUAUUCCUUCGCAAAAACCAGAAGUCAAACUUUUGAUAGAUAGACCGGUUGUUGCGAAAAUAAGAAAUUUUUAUGUUCUGUUGUUAGGAAAAGGUCAUACUUUUCAAUUACUAUGAAGUAGAAAUGUGUCUACGUCAGGUGACCACUUUGCAAUUACUAUGAAGUAGAAAUAUUGUUUUUGGCUACAAAAUGUGACUUUCAGUAGUUUGGUCCUAGUUUAUUGGUGGUGAAGUUCGCUUCUUAUCCAAAGGGAACAUUUAUAUAUAUAAUUUUUAAUAAAUAUAUAUAAUAUAAAACAUCUAAAAUAGUCAAAUAUAUUUUUUUGGAAGUUGCUUUGUUGCUUGUUUGUUUUUUUACAUUUUAAUAUUUGAACAGAAAAAAAUAACUAAAAUAAUUAAAUUUGUUUUCUUAGUUCUUACACGCCAUAUGCAUUUAAAAAUUAAAAUCAUGAUGUUUACCUUCCAACCUCAUUCAAUAUGUGCGUGCUGUGCUUUGAUCAAGAUCUAAUUUUUAUAAUUUUUUUUUAUAUUUAGACGAGGUAUCCAGGUCCGUAUCCGUUUUAAUAGUUCACAAACCUGAUUAAUCUCCCUCGUCCUCGGAAGCAAAAAAAAAAAAACUUGCAUUGCAGAGAAUCGAAUACAUGAUCUAAUUUUUAUAAUAUUGUUUUCAAACGUUAAUUAAAAAAAUGCUUGUUAAGCAUUUGUAUUAGGGAUAAAUGAUAAUUGAUUCAUUUUAAUGUUAAAUUAAAAGGAUGAGGAGUAUCACAAAUUGAAAAACACAAUUAAAAUAAAAUUAUAUGUAGAUUAUCUUUAUUCUCCGAUAACUGUAAUCAAUCAUCAAUCAUACUAUUGAAAAUUGAUAUAUGUUCGAAUCACAUACUUAAAAAAAAUUUAAAAAAAAAACUGAAAAAAAGGUAUAAUACAAAUCAUGGUGUUAGAGUCAAUCUCUAAAACUGAAAUUUGUUGAAUUCAAAACAAGAAUCAUAAUCAAUAACAAAUUUCUAGUAUAUAAAAAAAAUUAAAGAAGAAACCAUUAAUGAAUAUAAAAUAACUCAAAAUUUUCUAAUUCAUAAAAAUCGCAAGAGAUUAAUACACUCACAUGAAUGAAAUUAUUCCUAACUCUUCAAAAUUGCAUGAUUAAUUAAGAUUAGUCAUGCUCUCUCUCAAAAAAAAAAAAAUAAUAAUAAUGCCAAAGAACAAAAUUAAAUACCCGCUACAUUGAGAAAAAAAAAAAAAAAAACUACAGCUUCGGAGCACAAAAAUUAAAAGGAAAAUGAGGAACAAGAAUUGGAGAUUUUGAUUUGCUCAUCAAUCUCUCAGACUUGUUAGACCUUUUUGCAUCUGAAAACUGCUUUUCGUCGAAGACCUUUGAAUGAGCAAAAAUGGCGGAGCAGAAAAUUGCUGAAAAGCAUCCCAUUGUUUUCUGUUUCUAUUAAUUUCUCUUGAUUACCUACAAGAGACCUAUUUAUAGUGGGACUUUAGGUUAAUUAGGUUAAUGGUGUUUUAGGUAAAGAGUUGCCUAUUUGCAGGGAGACUUUUUUUUGUUACAAAGUAAUUAGCAUCAUUUCAAAUUUAAAUAUCUCAGACUCUAGAUAUCAGCAUCCUCUCUAAAACGGUAAAAAUCUCUAAUUUAUAAAUUCUUUUUAUAGCUAAAUAAAUUUAUUUUAUUAUAAAUUACCAAAAAAUAUAAUUUUAUUAAUUGAUUAGAAACAGCGUCCGUAUUUUGGCUUAUCAGCCGUAUUGUCCUUUUAUUUAUGAUAUAUAAAAUUAAUCUCGUUUUGAGGUUUAUAGUUACCUACUCUGAACGAUGGCAAGAUAUUUAUUUGUGUGAUAAUUGAGAAACAAGAAAUUUUACCUACUCUGAAUGAUGGCAAGAUAGUAUUUUUUUUUGUUCUAUGGACACAAUCUAAUUAGCUAGAAAGAUACUUUCUCCUAUCAUUUUCCGACUCUCCAGUCAAGCAAGAAAUUUAUACUGUCUUAGUUAGUAGUUCAUUGAAAAAGGCCAAAAGAAAGAAGGUCAAUAGCCACCACUUUCAAAUCAAUUCUUCUUUUUUCUUUUUUUUUUCUUUUUUUUCCUUUGCUGUAAAUGAGGGAGAUAAUUGAGGAGAAAAAAAAAUUGAAAAACAAAAUAAUUUUAUUGCUGAAAAAUCAAAUUAAUUAAUUACAUAUAAAACAUAAAUAUCUAUAUAAUCAAAUAAAAAAAAAUACAAAAUACAUCUUCACGUUCUUUAUAAUGGAUCAGGAUAUAUGUUCCCUCUUCUCCAAUAUUCCUCAAAAUCGCCAUGAACAAAUUAUAACCUUGACAUAUAUGAGUUGAUGGGGAAGUAAGAAACUACAAUAGGAGCACUUGAAGAUGACUUUGAUUUGCUUUUGGGUUUCUGUACAUUAGAUCCUUUGAUGUUGGAUACUUCUGCAUCAUCUGAAACCCUAGAAGAUGAAGACGAUGAAGGAACAAAGCAACUGAACAUGGCUGAGAAAUUAACCAUUUUUCCUUCUGAUUUCUUCUUGUUGUGGAGUUGUAUUAGUAUAUGUUGUGAUAUUGAUGAGGAUCAAAGUGAAAAAACCAGGCUAUUUAUAGAUGAAGAAGAGAAGUCGAAGUUGGUAUAUAGUCUUCAUGUGCAAGGAAAGGAAUUCCAAGUUUCCAGGAGAAUUCUCCUACCUUAAUUUGACCAAAACAAAUGAACCACGUGACUAUAAUAUAAGCAGGAAGUUUCCACUUGACUAGUUGAGAAAAGUCAACACUCUCAGAACGCUUUUAAGGUUAAUCAAAACUCUAGCCAGCCGCCCCACACACAGGAAAAAGUUAUAUACUGGAGAUCUGUUCAGCAACGGCUACUCAAGUGGCUUUUAGCGUUUUUACUACUUUUCAUAGUGUUUGAUAAUACAACGUUAAAUUAGCUUUUAGAGAUUACGGUGACAGCUUUUUAUGAAAAUGUUAACUCAUCUAAUAUUUAGUUUUUAGCUUUUCAUAAAAAACUAUUAAAACAACUACCAACUAAUCACUGUAAAAUAGCUAAUAGCUAUCAAAACAACUAAUUUUUCCAUUUACACAAUAAAGUCAAUUAAAAAUAAUUUCUUGAUGUAAGAAAGUAGUUCUGACUAUUAAUUAAAAAAAAAUAGGUAAAACUAACUUAGUGUAUGGAUAGACUUAUACAUCUGAGUGUGGUAAGUCUUAUAUAUAUUUAUUUUAUACGUUAUAAUUUUUUAUUGUUUAUAUAUUUUUUAGAAUGCAAAAAUCUACGAGGAAGACACACAUAUGAUAAAGAAAAUCCAUUUCAUUAUAACAAAAUUGCUAAUAAGAGGAUUUAUAUUGUGACAUGUUGCUGUUUCACAUGAAAUGAGCUUCUUUUUCUUUGUCGAUACCUUGGGGAGCAAGAGCUCAAAGCAAAACGAAAACAAAGCUAUACAGCUAUGCUGACUCGCUGAGUCGCGUUGCUACAAAUUUCAUAGUCUAUCCAAAUCGAUAAACCGGGAGGAGGAGACUGCAAAUUCGUUUAAUGAUACCUUCAAAUUGCAGGCCAAGAAAGUAGGAGGAUCAUCAGAAAAACAUGAAAUACAAAAAAAGACGCGUGUAAUAAUUUAUUACAGAGAAGAACACCAAUGUUCGCUAAAUUCUUGUGCUAGUAGAAAUCAAAUAACUACUACAAAAGGGAGAGGUAUGAAUUGGUAGGGAAGUGAGGAACCAUAAUUGUGGAAGCUGAUGAUGAUUUUGAUUUUCUUUUGGGUAGUUUGACAGGGUUAGGUACUUUCAU